AGCUGAUUACUUCACCUGUGCACUGGUUCAAAUAUAAUGAAAACCUGGUCUGUUGGGGGUACUUAAGUGCCAUAGUUGAGAAUCACUACCUAAGUGCAUGCUCUGAUCAGUGCCUGGAGGUGUGCUAUAGAGGCUGAUCUAGUGUUAAAGGACCAGGAAACACAGUAGAUUUGCAUAAUCAACAAAUGCAUGAGAAAAAGACAAUUCAAUAGCACUUAGUCUGAACUUCAACUUAAUAGAUUUUUUUUUCUGACAAUUUUAAAAGUUGUGUCUUUUUCCACUCCCCCUGUACCAUGUGACAGCCAUCAGCCAAUCACAAAUGCAUAUACGUACCAUGUGACAGCCAUCAGCCAAUCACAAAUGCAUACACGUUUAUUCUGUGAAAUCUUGCACAUGCUCAGUAGGAGCUGGUGACUCAAAAAGUGUAAAUAUAAAAAUAUUCUGCACAUUUUGGUAAUGGAAGUAAAUUGGAAAGUUAUUUAAAAUGUCAUGCUCUAUCUAAAUAAUGCAAGUUUAAUUUUCACUUGAGUGUCCCUUUAAGAAAAUAAUAACUCAGGAUUUUUAAACAAACUGCAUUUAUAUUUGGGAAUUGGCUGAUUGGAGGCAUAUUACAAUAGCUAAUGGCAGUACAUGAGCCAUCUAUGGAUUGGGUAGUGUCUGAUUAAAGCAACUAAAACACAAAGGCAGACCAGGCAUUAUUAAUGGGGGGAGGGGGUAACAAAGAUAAUUGAAAAGCUGAGUGGUACUUUGAGAGUUUUAGCCUUCUACUGCCAUUAACCCCGCCCCCGCCCUCUCUAUGCUCUCCAACAAUGUUUAUAGCUGCAAGUAGUAACCAGAUUUUUCCUCUCUUUAUAGCACCUAUGUUAUAUCACCUUGCUGCCGAAGACCUCAUGCUGUUGAUGUUUCUUAUCAUAUGAUUGGAUGGCAGUAUUACACAGCAGCCAAUAAGAGGGCUAGGCAAACCACUGGACAUGUAAAAAAGUAUCUGACCAGUGAUGGUCGAUAGUGAUAAAAUAAUGAUUCAUUGUGCUGGAUCCUCUAGAAAUAUCACUGCUUGAUUUGUGUAGAGUUUAAAGGGGCAUGGAGUCAAUAGUAAGUAGGGUAUAGGGUUUGCUGAUCCACUUAAAGGGACAGUAUAUUAUAAAAUUGUUUUUCCCUUUUAUAUUAGUAUAAAGAUUAUGCAACCUGUGAAAUUCUCUAAUCCCCUCACUGAAUAUCCUUAAUCUUGCGAUAAUCUAUAUAUAGCUUCAUGCAUUUACCCCAAUACACCUAAAUAUUCAGAACUGAUAUUGUAUCGCACCUUAACAAUCCUCUUUUGCUUAAACAGUUUACUGAUAAGGGACAGCCAAGCAUGAAUUACACUUCAAAUCUUAUUUAGUAACUUUUAAAUAUCCUACAUAAAUCAGUGCGUAAAUCAGUGAGUAAAAUUGGCAAAGUGAGGAUAUACCUAUAUUUGCAAAAAGAGAUCUAAACUUCUCUCAAAAGAGCAUAUAUCUAUGUGAAUGAAACUUGUAAUACUGCUUAUUAAAAUUCUGCAAACUUUUUCUCAAUUUAUAUAGUUAAAUACUCAGUGCAGAUAUGCAAAUCUCUAAUUAAAUAACAGACAAUAUUAUCAAACACAUAUGAUAUAUUGUUUAGCUGUCAGAUUAUCCAAGCUUCUUUGCAGGGAUCGCCCGAGUAUAGACAGAUGAAUGAAACUGUCCUUUUGCUGCAGAUAUAGCAUGCACUACCCAGAAGUCCUGAUCCAAGUUCUGCAGUAAAUUUACUUAGUCAGGGUAAGAUAUAUAAUACUGCCCUUAUGCUCCCGCUUCUAAUCCUCAUUUGUGUUAAUUUUAACAAGUGAUUCAUUGUGAGUAAGGUUAAUUUUUAUAAAUACAUUUUAUGAUCUGUUCUGUGUAGAAUAAUUGUAACAGAAUAACCGUGUAUAAUUGAUUCAUAAUCUAGUUUUUACAUAAAUAUAAUUCAAGGUGUCUAUAAAGAUAACUAAUCAAGAAUUAAGGAAUCAAAUAUUAAUUUUUUUAUUUUUUUUUUAAUUUUUAUAACAAAGUUACAGAACAAAAAAAAACAUCUCACACAAACAUUACAAACAAAAUAAGAAUCUCCUUGUUAACUUUAAGUAGACUAUUCGGUCUGGCAAAUAUUAAGUAUUGCUCUUUCUAACUCAAUUCUCAGGUAUUAUGCUCUGGGCAUCAAAUAUUAAUUUUUAAUAAUAUUAUUGUUAUCAAAUUUAUAGAUAUCUAUAUAGUGAUAUUUUGGAAUACACCACAGAGAACUCACUGAAGUAUAUUGACAACAUUUCUGCUAUAUUAAUUGUAGCUAUCGCUGACAAUAGUUUUAUACUGCUAUUAAUUAUGAAUAUACAUAAUUACAUUUUACUGGAGGUUACUACUGAAAUAAUAAUUAAUAAUAAUUUUGUAACCUAGUAUAUACUAACAGCAAUAAAUUCUACAGAUUCCCUGAAAAUGAGACAAAUGGAACACAUGGGAAUUUGACUGGAACAAUGUGAUUGGAUAAUCUGUUUUAUUUUAGUCUCAGCAGAGAAGCCACAAAUUAGCAGAUUCCUAGAAAGAGAAGAUUAAUAAAGGGUGCAAAACCUUACGGAAAAUAUUUUGAUGCUGGAACACAAGUAGUUAAUUACUAUUCACUGCAUACACAAUGAUUCUCAUAUGGUCAUUUACCUAACGUGGUUGUGGCACAUGGAAUACAUUUAGAUUUUCUUGUUAGACCUGCAGUUUUUUUAUCACUAACACAUAUAUAGGAGUCGUCCCUAACAACCAAUGAGAAUACAUAUUGCAAUGUGCAAAAUAUAUUUGCUGAUAACUGCAAUUUAAGCAGUUUUAUUUUAUGUUAAAGGGACAUAAAAGUCCAAAUUAAACUUUAAUGAUUUAUAUAGAGCAUACAAUGUUAAAAGACUUCACUUUACUUCUAUUAUCAGUUACUUUGCUCUUUUUGUAUCCUUUGUUAAAAAACACAUGUAAAGAAGCCUGGGAGUAGCAACACACUACUGAAAGCAGCUGGUGUUUGGUGACUUCACACAUAUGUCUCUUGUCGUUGGCUCACCAGAUGUGUUCAGCUAACUCCCAGUAGUGUACUACUAAUCUGCAACUUUACAAGAGUUAAACAAUAUUGCAAUUAUAAAAUAAUGUAAUACAUUAGAACAUUUUCUUCCCUUUAAAGGGACAGUAAACACCACAUAUAAAAUCACUUUAUUUUAAAUAUAUUACAUUGCUGAGUACUCUUUUUAUUUCCAAUUCACAUCCUCUAUCAGUAGUUUGUCCCAGCUACAUUUUCAAAGUACAAUCCAGACCGUUAGUUAUGGCCCCCAAACUCAGCCCCUAAUUAUGAAUCGAGUUUACCUGUUCUAUCAAUGCCCCUCUUAGAUGCAACUCGCAAAUCAGUUAUUACUUCAGUUCACGUACUGUUGCGCUUGCGUCAUCAUUUCUAAGCCCACGUCGACUGCCGCAUGUGCGCAUGCGCAACCUCCAGGGGGAGCUAAUAUUCCGGAACCAUAUAUUUACAAUGUAUUUGUGAACGUCAGUGGCAGUUACGUUGAGUUGUCACCUUCACUGCGUGAUGACAUAUUGCUACAGAUCGUGAGCGAGCAGCAAUUUUGAAAAUGAAAUAUACACAAGGGUGAAGAAGGAAAAGGGAGGAGGAGUUUAGGGGCCAUUUUUGAAGGAGAAAUAGAGAUAUGAACGGUAACGAUUAUGAGAGCCGAUGAUGGCAUUCACUAAAGGGGGUAUGUGUACAUUGUUUAAUAGCUUAUAUCGUUUGAUCCAAAAUAGAGUUGUAAGUGCUGUUUACUGUCCCUUUAUUAUUUCAAACAUUAUUUUACUGCAAUAGUUUUUUUUUUUAUGGUGAAAACUACUCUGCAGUGCAGAAAAUGUAAAUCUAAUCCUAGCAAACAGAUGUGCACUACAUGAUUAUGCUUUGCUAUUACUUAGUGAAUUAAAAAAAUUACUGACCAUGGGAUGCUAUAGAGUUUUGCAAACUUUAAGGGACAGUUUACCCAAAAAACUUCUCUCCUUUAAUGUGUUUCCAAUUAUCCAUUCUACCUGCUGGAGUGUAUCAAUUGUUUUACAAAUAGCUCCUUAGAUUUUAUAUUGGCAUUUGAAAUAGCUGAUUUAGCCUGCAGUAUCCCUAUCUACACUGAAAGUUUCUAUACCUAGGUAUAGGCUUUUGAGAAAUUAUGUAAACACAGCCAGCAGAAGAAAUUUACACUCACAGUGGGAGGUGGAAGAGAUAAAGCUCUAAAAUGUUAAUUUUUAACAGAGACAGAGAUAAGAAAGGGAAGCAUUUGAGUAAUAAGAUAACAAGAUCUGAUCUGUCAGCAAGCCAAGCCUAUUUUGGUAGGCUGUGGUAUCAAAGAGCAAAUCUAGCUAUUUAUUUUGCUAUAAGAAGUAUAAAUGAGCAAUUUCUUACACAUUUUAUACACUGCAGCUGGUAUAUCAAGUCAUGGGGAACACAUUCAGGGAAAAACUAUUUUACAGUGAACUGUCCCUUUAAGAAUUAUUGUGUGUAAAGAAAUGCUAGUGACUUGCUGCAUUUCAUUACUUUACUUGCUAAUGACUCUUCAACAAAAAAAAAUUAAAGCUGAUAAAUAUAAUCAGUUAUUCACAGUUUAACCCAAAUGUCUGCCAUAUGGGGUUGCAGCACAUUUCUAUGUAAUCCUUUAUGGGCAUAAGACUGUGGGCUGGUGACAUUCCUUCCGCACACAAAUGCCUACAUGUAACGAUUGGUAGAUAUGUGCCAAAGAUAUGUGGUUCAUGUUCUACAUAAUCCAGGCCAAAGGCAACAUAGCCGGCAUUGUGCUUUUUGAUCUUGAGCCAGACGUCAAAUAUUUCUCAUCGAUUGCAUCAUAGAAUUUGUCUUGGUAUAAAAUGUAUAUUCAGAUUCAUCUUUGCAUCCUGACAAAAGAAUCUGAUUUAAUGAGGUGGUGAGCGCUAUCACAGCAAGCAAUCAUUUUUCAAAAUGGUUUAAAGGGACUUGAAACACAAACCUUUUCAUGAAUCAGAUUUUAAACACCUUUCUAAUUUACUUUGUUCUUUUGGUAUCUUUUGUUGAAAUGCAGGGGCAUAAACUUAGGAACGUGCACGUGUCUAGAGCACUAUAUGGCAGCAGUUUUGAAGAAUGUAAUACAUUUGCAAGAACACUAAAUGUCAGCACUAUUUUCUGCCAUGUACUUCUCCAGACACCUAGGUAUCUAUUCAACAAGGAAUACCAUGGGAACAGGGGCGCAUUUUGGAUAAGGCUAACAAGGCACUUGCCUAGGGCUGCAGACAGGAGGGGCAGCACUUUUUGAGUUUCUGUUGGUAGCAGAAGGUGACUUAACUAGCGCUAGCUGUCUGUAUUGUGUAUAUAUAUAUAUCCAAAAAGGGAAAGCACAAUCAUAAAAAUUUUCUUAGUGCCAACGUGCACUUUAAUCCAAGCAAAGAUCCAUAUCCAAUAAAAAGGCAGUCAUUGGUCUUCUUGCAUUAGAACAUAGCAUUUAUUUAAGCAAAUGUUAAAAAGGACAUAACAUUUUGGUGCACAUUAGCGCCUUUGUCAAAUGUCACAUAAAAGGUUUAACAGUAUAAACCUAAAAGCAAUUGGCAAAUAGAACAAUACCAUCACCUUAAAUACCUUAACAAACAAUACUAAUGACCAACCAGUUCCCCUCCACACCAACAUGCGGCAGUGACGUCAUCAUCGACCGCCGUCGCAUGACGCGUCAUCACCCCGUGUGAGCGGUACCAUAGUUACCAAUCAAAACAACUACGCUAAGGGACCGGAUACAUAAUAAUUAUCAAAGUACCAUACAUACUUAAUCAGUAAAUUUAUUCAUCAUCUACAAAUCUACUAUUAUAGAUUAUCUAAUCUUUAACCCCUAAUGGAGAAAAUGGCCACAUAAAAAUACACAAAGUAGUGCCAUUAGCUAAUCAGGCAGUGAGAAAAACGAUAACUUGCAUAAUGCCCUUAUUGUUCCCAUAGGGGUUAGUAUACUCCACCUACAACAGGCAAGUUCAAUUUAUAUAGGGUAGGGAUACUGCAAAUAUUGAGAACGAUACAUACAUAUACCACAUCAGUGACGAGUACAUGGGUAUCCAGCAAAAGACAUAUUAGUGCUCAAUAACUAGGACCAUAUCAUCCUUUCAAUAAGACCCACAUAUAUACACUACUGUCUUCAAUGCCUCCUGAGGUAUGGGUGGAAACCAGAACUCCAGUGAGUGCCCAUUUGGAACCGACAUCCAUGUAAAACUUCGGAAUGAUGCUUUGGCAUAGAUUAAUAGAAUGGACUAAAGUCCAAAGAGGUGUUAAGACCCCUAGAGGCCAGAGUGUCCAUCCUGUAGAUCCACUUGCUCCCAAGUUGCAAGAGCCUGUUAGCCCUAUUGCCACCCCUAGACAGUGGGGGUAUAUGAUCUAUAAGCAUGGAUCUUAAGCUAGAGACACUGUGUUUAUGAUUGGCAAAGUGACGUGCCACCGGUUGAUCGGAUUCUACUUUUGAAAGCGAUUCCCGAAUGUCACACCGAUGGACUUCUCUUUGUCUUGUUUUAAUGGUAUUGCUGGAUAAUCGUCUUUAGGAAGGAUCACUUGAUGUUUUCCGAGUCCCAUUAAGAUUUGAACAGAUAACUGGACUAGUGGAGACAUCAUUGGAAAUUUGUUCUAUCAUUGUGGAUGUAAUACUGUUUGUCUUCUUCCUUUAUCUGUGAUUAAAGGGACAUGAAACCCAUUUUUUUAUUUCAUGAUUUAGAAAGAGCAGCAAUUUUAAACAACUUUCCAAUUUACUUCUGUUAUCUGAUUUGUUUCAUUCUCCCGAUAGCCUUUGUUGAAAAGCAUAUAAAAAUUGGCUCAGUAGCUGCUGAUUGGUGACUGCACAUAGAUGCCUCGUAUGAUUGGCUCACACAUGUGCAUUGCUAUUUCUUCAACAAAGGAUAUCUGAAGAAUGAAGCAAAUUAAAUAAUAAAAGUAAAUUGUAAUAUAGUUUAAAAUUGUAUUGUGUAUCUGAAUCACAAAGGAAAAUGUGGUGUUUCAUGUCCCUUUAAGCUACUAUUUGUUCAUUUAAUUUUUUAAUGGAUAAAACUACCUUUCAGAACGUGGUAUAUAUAAAAAAAAAAGAAUGUGUACAUUUUGAUAAUUGAAGUAUUUUGUAGUUUUUUCCCUAAUUUCUAGCUAACUGUAUAAACUAUGAAUUCUUAAAGGGACAAAAGACAAAGUUAAACUUUUUCAUGAUUUAGAUAAGGCAUGCAAUUUUAAACAACUUUCCACUUUACUUUUAUUAUCAAAUUAGCUUUGUUCUCUUGGUAUUCUUUGUUGAAAGCUAAACCUAGAUAUGCUCAUAUGCUAAUUUCUAAGCCCCUGAAGGCCACCUCUUAUUUCAGUGCAUUGACAGUAUAUCACAACUAGACAGUGCUAGUUCAUGCCUGCCAUAUAGAUAACAUUGUACUCACUCCCGUUGAGUUAUUUAUGAGUCAGCACUGAUUUGCUAAAAUGCCAGUCUGUCAAAAGAAUUGAAAUAAGGAGCAGUCUGCAGAUGCUUAGAUACAAGGUAAUCACAGAGGUAAAAAGCGUAUUAUUAUAACUGUGUUGGUUAUGCAAAUAAAAGGAUGAUGAUACACAAUCUCAAACUGACAAGUGAGAGAUCUUAAGGGGGCGCACUAAAUUAUACCACCAUACAAUAACUCUCUCCACCACUCCGAUGCGUGCACUGUUCUCUCCAAUCCCAAAGUCAAUUCAUCUAAAAUGAUAUAAAUGAGAAGAAGGUGCCUUGUUGGUGCAGCACAGUUACACUUAAAGUGAAGGUAAAGUUUUGUUAAGCAGCAAUGGUAUUUAGGAUCCUUUUAAUAACUUCAAUCCAGUCGCUAGGUUUGUUUUUUACAAAUAUUUAGUUAUUUAGGUAUUUUUCUAACAAUAGUUUUGUUACCGUUCCGUGCAGAUUCUCCUCCCACCCUCAAGUUCCGGGUUUAUGAUACUGUGACGUAUAGAGCGGUCCCACCCGCUCUAUACGUGUCUACUACGCUCGUGCACAUCGAGCAUGGAAUAACAGCGCAUGCGCAUCAUUUGUUCUCAGCGAUCUUUGCGCAUGCGUUAAUCCCGGUUGUCGCUCUCUACUGCGCAUGCGAAAAUACUUAGCAAGUUCCUCGGCAGCUCCUACUAUGACUACUACCUAAAGUUUAUACUGCGCAUGCGCGAAAUGAGGACGCGCGCGGAUGGAAAAUGAGAAGUAGAAAAUGUUACGCAUGCGCAUAUAGACCCAUCUGUUGAUGACGAAAUUUGACGGCCGCCUAACGGCCAGAGAAUCAAUUGGAUGGCUCAACCACGUGAUAGUUCUUUAUAAAAAAAAAACAUUGAACGGGUUGAUUUUCGGAAAGCCGAUUACAUGACAAUAAAAUAAGAUAUCUCAGGUAAUAUAUAUUUUGGGGAAUAUUGAUGAAUGAAACUUAUAUUUAUUUGCCUUGAUAUCUAUAAUUGUUUAUAAUAGAGUGUUUGACUUUACCUUCACUUUAAAUGGAUAUGUAAUAGAAUAAUCAAGUACUCAAAAAGUGUCACCCAAUUGUGCUUAGUAGCACAUGCUAGGAUUUCCCAGUGUCCCAGCUCACUGAAACCAGGUUUAGAGUCAGCGACUCUCUGCUUUGCCGGAAGGUGAUGAUUCAAAUGAUGUUAUUAUUAACAAUUUCAGGAUUAAAAAAUUGUUUAUUAAAAGUUGCAACAGCAUAAAAACAUAUAGGAGCAGAUACACUCUCUCCUUUAACAGAAUUGCUAUGCUUUUCUCAGCUGUGCUGUUUCAUAAGCCAUCUAAGGUGCCUUUACUAGCCACAGACCUCUAAGACCCCUUGAAAGAGAAUUACCUGUUUGUUCAAAUGGUGGUCUUGGAAACACAACUAGAUGGGUUUUGUUUUUUUAAGUAUAACAAAUACUUAGGAAUUUUCUUGGGAAUGGGACAUUAUAUACUCAAUAACAAAUCUGUUAUGUCUAGAACACUAAUAAAGUUUAUUUUCUAGUAGACAAGUCCCUCUCUUAAAAAAAAAAGAUAUGAAUUUUGCCUGUAUAGUCAGGUGAUCGCUAUGGUAACAAUGAACACUUUGCAAGAAACAAAAAGUGAUUUUAUUUCUGUACUGUACAAUGUACUCCCAAAAGCCCAUAUGGGUCCCUAUUUCACAUGUGACUACCCUUGAUGACAAUUUAGUAUGGUAAUCACAGUUACUGCAGUGGUCACAGCCAUUUUCAGUAUUAUUUACUAAAACAUCAACUAAAAUGCACAUUUUGUUUUACAGGCAUUUUGUAACUUCAGCUAAGGAAUAGCUUAUACCAUUAUCAGUUCGCUUCAGGGGUCCUGAUGACCACACAUUAGAAAUAAUCAGCGCCUUAUAUCAUCUAAACAUGAAUAAUAUUUUGUUGUCUUUGGAAAAUGAUUACCUAUAUGGUGUAUAACAAUAAGCUUUGUAAUAUUUUAUAUUUAUUUAUGUAAACCAAAAAAAAUUGUUUUUAAAGUUUUUGCUCACCUUCACUAUACGUAUAUUGGUAUGACCCACUGAGGGUGUGACUUUUUUCUGAUCAAUGAUUGGUUUAUUUAUUAUUUUAAAUAUGGCAGCUGAUGUAUAGCCUGAUGAAACAGUGUGUUACACUGAGAAACGCGUUGCUGUUGUUUUUAUUGUUAAUACAUUUGUACCUUAUUUUUAACUCUC
This is a long non-coding RNA of Bombina bombina (fire-bellied toad), 9662 nucleotides long. RefSeq lists it as uncharacterized. The transcript is spliced from 2 exons. Lineage: Eukaryota; Metazoa; Chordata; Amphibia; Anura; Bombinatoridae. The record is from RefSeq and is a predicted model, not a curated record.